RNAcentral lists this ribosomal RNA (406 nucleotides) under uncultured bacterium. RNAcentral's name for it is "partial 16S ribosomal RNA". It matches the Rfam family "Bacterial small subunit ribosomal RNA", at positions 30 to 526 of the family's 1533-position model. The record is from RNAcentral.
AUUGAACGCUGGCGGCAGGCCUAACACAUGCAAGUCGAACGAGCGGCGGACGGGUGAGUAAUGUAUGGGAAUCUGCCCGAUAGAGGGGGAUAACUACUGGAAAGGGAGGCUAAUACCGCAUACUAUCGGAUGAACCCAGAUGGGAUUAGCUAGUGGGUGGGGUAAAGGCUCACCUAGGCGACGAUCUCUAGCUGGUCUGAGAGGAUGAUCAGCCACACUGGGACUGAGACACGGCCCAGACUCCUACGGGAGGCAGCAGUGGGGAAUAUUGCACAAUGGGCGCAAGCCUGAUGCAGCAAUGCCGCGUGGAUGAAGAAGGUCUUAGGGUUGUAAAGUACUUUCAGUGGGGAGGAGGUACCCUCAGAAGAAGCACCGGCUAACUCCGGGCCAGCAGCCGCGGUAAUAC